CCUGGCUUAGGAUGAACGCUAGCGACAGGCUUAACACAUGCAAGUCGAGGGGUAACAGGGUAGCAAUACCGCUGACGACCGGCGCACGGGUGAGUAACGCGUAUGCAACCUGCCUAUAACUGGGGAAUAGCUCCCUGAAAGGGGGAAUUAACACCGCAUAACACUAUUGAUUCGCAUAGAUUGGUAGUUAAAUGUAGCGAUACAGGUUAUAGAUGGGCAUGCGUGACAUUAGCUAGUUGGUGAGGUAACGGCUCACCAAGGCUACGAUGUCUAGGGGUUCUGGGAGGAAGGUCCCCCCACACUGGUACUGAGACACGGACCAGACUCCUACGGGAGGCAGCAGUGAGGAAUAUUGGUCAAUGGGCGCAAGCCUGAACCAGCCAUGUCGCGUGCAGGAAGAACUGCCCUAUGGGUUGUAAACUGUCUUUUAUAGUAGAAGAAACACAUCUACGUGUAGAUGUCUGCCAGUAUACUAUGAAUAAGCAUCGGCUAACUCCGUGCCAGCCGCCGC
This 511-nucleotide ribosomal RNA is filed under the name uncultured bacterium. Its description in RNAcentral is "bacterial SSU rRNA". It matches the Rfam family "Bacterial small subunit ribosomal RNA", at positions 18 to 518 of the family's 1533-position model. The record is from RNAcentral.